AUUGAACGCUGGCGGCAGGCUUAACACAUGCAAGUCGAGCGGAGAUGAGGUGCUUGCACCUUAUCUUAGCGGCGGACGGGUGAGUAAUGCUUAGGAAUCUGCCUAUUAGUGGGGGACAACAUUCCGAAAGGAAUGCUAAUACCGCAUACGUCCUACGGGAGAAAGCAGGGGAUCUUCGGACCUUGCGCUAAUAGAUGAGCCUAAGUCGGAUUAGCUAGUUGGUGGGGUAAAGGCCUACCAAGGCGACGAACUGUAGCGGGUCUGAGAGGAUGAUCCGCCAGACUGGGACUGAGACACGGCCCAGACUCCGACGGGAGGCGGCAGUGCGGAAUAUUGGACAAUGGGGGGAACCCUGAUCCAGCCAUGCCGCGUGUGUGAAGAAGGCCUUAUGGUUGUAAAGCACUUUAAGCGAGGAGGAGGCUACUGAGACUAAUACUCUUGGAUAGUGGACGUUACUCGCAGAAUAAGCACCGGCUAACUCUGUGCCAGCAGCCGCAGUAA
Molecule: ribosomal RNA, 501 nt
Filed under: uncultured bacterium
Lineage: Bacteria
Description: partial 16S ribosomal RNA
Rfam family: Bacterial small subunit ribosomal RNA
Source: RNAcentral